Molecule: ribosomal RNA, 273 nt
Filed under: uncultured bacterium
Lineage: Bacteria
Description: partial 16S ribosomal RNA
Rfam family: Bacterial small subunit ribosomal RNA
Source: RNAcentral
CCUGCCGGCGACCGGCGCACGGGUGAGUAACACGUAUGCGACCUGCCCCCGCGGGGGGAUAACCGGGAGAAAUCCCGACUAAUACCGCGUAACGCCGCGGACCUGCAUGGGUCUGCGGCCAAAGGAAGCGAUUCCGGCGGGGGAUGGGCAUGCGGCGCAUUAGCUAGUCGGCGGGGUAACGGCCCACCGAGGCGACGAUGCGUAGGGGUUCUGAGAGGAAGGUCCCCCACACUGGUACUGAGACACGGACCAGACUCCUACGGAAGGCAGCAG